UACGUAGGGUGCAAGCGUUAAUCGGAAUUACUGGGCGUAAAGGGAGUGUAGGCGGUCCGAUAAGUCGGGUGUGAAAGCCCUGGGCUCAACCCAGGAAGUGCACUCGAAACUGCCGGGCUAGAGUAUCGGAGAGGUUGGUGGAAUUCUCGGUGUAGAGGUGAAAUUCGUAGAUAUCGAGAGGAACACCGGUGGCGAAGGCGGCCAACUGGACGAAUACUGACGCUGAGACUCGAAAGCGUGGGGAGCAAACAGG
This 253-nucleotide ribosomal RNA is filed under the name uncultured bacterium. RNAcentral describes it as "partial 16S ribosomal RNA". It matches the Rfam family "Bacterial small subunit ribosomal RNA", at positions 524 to 776 of the family's 1533-position model. The record is from RNAcentral.